This 164-nucleotide ribosomal RNA is filed under the name Staphylococcus aureus. RNAcentral's name for it is "partial 16S ribosomal RNA". It matches the Rfam family "Bacterial small subunit ribosomal RNA", at positions 1 to 159 of the family's 1533-position model. Lineage: Bacteria; Bacillati; Bacillota; Bacilli; Caryophanales; Staphylococcaceae. The record is from RNAcentral.
UUUAUGGAGAGUUUGAUCCUGGCUCAGGAUGAACGCUGGCGGCUUGCCUAAUACAUGCAAGUCGAGCGAACGGACGAGAAGCUUGCUUCUCUGAUGUUAGCGGCGGACGGGUGAGUAACACGUGGAUAACCUACCUAUAAGACUGGGAUAACUUCGGGAAACCG